RNAcentral lists this ribosomal RNA (253 nucleotides) under uncultured bacterium. RNAcentral's name for it is "partial 16S ribosomal RNA". It matches the Rfam family "Bacterial small subunit ribosomal RNA", at positions 524 to 776 of the family's 1533-position model. The record is from RNAcentral.
UACAGAGGGGGCAAGCGUUAUUCGGAAUUAUUGGGCGUAAAGGGCGCGUAGGCGGUUUGGCAAGUGGAAGGUGAAAUCCCUCGGCUUAACCGAGGAACUGCCCUCCAAACUGCUUCGCUUGAGACCGGGAGAGGUGAGUGGAAUUCCCAGUGUAGCGGUGAAAUGCGUAGAUAUUGGGAGGAACACCAGUGGCGAAGGCGAGUCUCUGGGAUGAUACUGACGCUGAUGCUCGAAAGCUAGGGGAGCAAACGGG